UACGUAGGGUGCAAGCGUUAAUCGGAAUUACUGGGCGUAAAGCGUGCGCAGGCGGUUUUGUAAGUUUGUCGUGAAAUCCCCGGGCUCAACCUGGGAAUGGCGAUGAAGACUGCAAGGCUAGAAUCUGGCAGAGGGGGGGGUAGAAUUCCACGUGUAGCAGUGAAAUGCGUAGAGAUGUGGAGGAACACCGAUGGCGAAGGCAGCCCCCUGGGUCAAGAU
RNAcentral lists this ribosomal RNA (219 nucleotides) under uncultured bacterium. Its description in RNAcentral is "partial 16S ribosomal RNA". It matches the Rfam family "Bacterial small subunit ribosomal RNA", at positions 524 to 740 of the family's 1533-position model. The record is from RNAcentral.